Molecule: ribosomal RNA, 227 nt
Filed under: uncultured bacterium
Lineage: Bacteria
Description: partial 16S ribosomal RNA
Rfam family: Bacterial small subunit ribosomal RNA
Source: RNAcentral
GGAAGUACUGGGCGUAAAGGGCGCGUAGGCGGCGCGGCAGGUCAGGCGUGAAAGCCCCGGGCUCAACCUGGGAAUUGCGCUUGAUACGGUCGUGCUGGAGGUUGGGAGAGGAGAGUGGAAUUCCCAGUGUAGAGGUGAAAUUCGUAGAUAUUGGGAAGAACACCAGUGGCGAAGGCGGCUCUCUGGCCCAAUCCUGACGCUGAGGCGCGAAAGCGUGGGGAGCAAAC